GACGAACGCUGGCGGCGUGCUUAACACAUGCAAGUCGAACGAUGAAGCUAGAGCUUGCUCUGGUGAAUUAGUGGCGAACGGGUGAGUAACACGUGAGUAACCUGCCCCGAACUCUGGGAUAACUGCUGGAAACGGUAGCUAAUACUGGAUCCGACCUACGAAGGCAUCUUCUGUAGGUGGAAAGAAUUUCGGUUCGGGAUGGACUCGCGGCCUAUCAGCUUGUUGGUGAGGUAAUGGCUCACCAAGGCGACGACGGGUAGCCGGCCUGAGAGGGUGACCGGCCACACUGGGACUGAGACACGGCCCAGACUCCUACGGGAGGCAGCAGUGGGGAAUAUUGCACAAUGGGCGCAAGCCUGAUGCAGCAACGCCGCGUGAGGGAUGACGGCCUUCGGGUUGUAAACCUCUCUUAGUAGGGAAGAAGCGAAAGUGACGGUACCUGCAGAAAAAGCACCGGCUAACUACGUGCCAGCAGCCGCGGUAA
This 484-nucleotide ribosomal RNA is filed under the name uncultured bacterium. Its description in RNAcentral is "partial 16S ribosomal RNA". It matches the Rfam family "Bacterial small subunit ribosomal RNA", at positions 28 to 523 of the family's 1533-position model. The record is from RNAcentral.